Molecule: long non-coding RNA, 759 nt
Organism: Phascolarctos cinereus (koala)
Lineage: Eukaryota; Metazoa; Chordata; Mammalia; Diprotodontia; Phascolarctidae
Source: RefSeq, a predicted model, not a curated record
GGACAGCAGGGGGCACUGCUGGACAGUGGGGAGAUCUCAGGGGCUGCCCAGCUCAUCCAGGCUUAGGGAGGCAAACUGUGGGUUGAUCUAAUGCCCUCUGGGUGUCUUUUCAUUUGGAUUUAAUAGGCAGAACAGGGAGGAAGUUGACAAGGUUGCCCUGCCUGCCGCUGGGAACCUUCUGAUUCUCCUAGAUGGGAUGAGGAAACUGAGGCCCAGAGAUGGUGACAGAGUGGUACAUUGGAAAGGGUGCUGGAUUUGGAGUCACAUAUCCUGGAUUCAAAUCCCGUCUUUGACAUCUGGGCCACUCCGGGACUUUGGGCUCAAUAUCCUGUUAAUUAACAACAACAACAACAUUCUGGAAACUGUACAAAUAUUCUCUCGUUUGGUCUUUACAACUAUCCUGGAAGCAAUAAAUCAAGGUCAUUGUGAGUGAACUUGGAGACUGAUGAAACCUGAGAAAAAGCAUUUCUAAAAGAGAUAUCCCAGUUUGAGAAGGAAAAAAUGGAUUCCCGGUUCUGAGAAGAAACCUCUUACAAAGCUUCUCAAUUGCGUGGGAAAAACUGUGCUCUGGCAUCUCUGGGAGAAAGCAGGAGUCAGAAGGAGGAAGAAAGUUUCCCUCCUGUGAAUUUCAAUGAAGUUAGUACCUGUAGACUAUAUAAAAUAUGUUACAUACUUCAAUAAUACAUAAUAAUACAAAUAUAUUUUACAUAUAUACAUAUACAUCUUGUCAGAAUUUGGUAUGUUGGGCUCUUAUUUUUU